GGGAUGUAGUAAUGGUGAAUUGGAGCUCCCAUGGAAACAUCUGCCAGGUAGGAAGAGCAAGUUCUGAAAAUGCAUGACGUUAGUCCAGGGGAGACUCUAACCUGAAUGCUACAGCCUUUGUCAUACUCAUCCACUGCCUCUCACACAGAUGGGAAUGGUGGUGUCUGCAAACCAGAAGGGACUGCCUAUAGUCCUAUAGCCUUGCUUAUUCCCUCCAGCAACCACUACUGGCAAAGCCUAAAUUUUCACAAAGGAGAAAUGUUACCUGGCCCAGCUCCAACAUCAGGAAGCGGUGCAAAGGAGAGAUUGAGAGACACUGGAUUUGUAACCAAAAUGGAGUCUAACUCUGUCACCCAUGCCGGAGUGCAGUGACACGAUCUUGGCUCACUACAACCUCUGCCUCCAGGGUUCAACCAAUUCCUUGGCUCACCCUCCUGAGUAGCUGGGAUUACAGGCAACUGCCACCAUGCGAGGCUAAUGUUUGUAUUUUUAGUAGAGAUGGGGUUUCACCAUCUUGGCCUGACUGGUCUUGAACUCCUGACCUCAUGAUUCAUCUGCCUUGACCUCCCAAAGUGCUGGGAUUACAGGUCCCACCCCACUCCCAGUCAAACCUCUUUCAUUUGUAAAUUGCUUGAUCUUGGCUAUGUCUUUAUCAGUGGCAUGAAACAGACUAAUACACAAAUAAAACAUCAAAAAGAAUAAAAAGUAAUGUGCAGUACAAAAGAGACUAAUAUAGCAACAUGCUUUGCAUCAAAAAUAAUAAGUGGUAGAAAAUACUGAUUUAUUACUUGCAAACAUUUUAGUGCAAUAUUUUAAGAGUAUAUUAUAGACAUCUAAACAAACAUUCAAUCUAGGGUGCAAAAAGCAUUUUUAUGCAAGUAAGCACACUGAGCAUUUAUUCCCCUGGUAGUUAUUUUUAGGAAUUUAUUUGAUAAUUUAAUUCAGAAAAAUAGGGGAGUAAUUUAAGAGCAGAGGUUGUGAUGCCCAGCUCACAGUACUUCAAAACCUGUAAACAAAGUGAGUCAACAAGAAGACAGCUGUAUAGAAAAAUAUUGAGGAAUGAGUUCCUCAUAAAAUAGAGUGCUCCAGAACAGAGAUCUUUAGGGGAAAAGAAAGAUGAAAAUGAGCAUGGAAGAGAACAGGCAAUUUGAUUGAGAACACACACAAACAUUAAGGAUGUAAUAAAGGGAAUCAUUUCAAACAGAAAGUAAGAAUAAAGAGAAACUCCUGGAAAAAGUAAAAAAUACCACCUUGGACAAAACCCAAAUGUCAAAUUUGUAUUCCAGAUGUGAUCAAACAUAUUGUGGCAAGCAAAGUUUAAAAAAAAAUAGGAAUUUUAACAAAAAGACACAUGUUAAGAUCAUUUACAUUUCCAUGUUUAAAGGAUAUGGCAUUAGAUCUAUUUAAAAAUUACAUCAAAACACAUAUUGGGCUUAUAAUAUACUAUGUUUAUAUAGCAGUUGCAAUAUAAAUGUUGUUUUAAGUUUUAUAACCAAAGCACAGGAUAAUUUAAUAAUGGAUCCAUGAUAUAAAUGAAUGCUAAAGACAGUGACAAUGUACAUGUAAAUAUUCUUUAUUAAAAUUAGGAUAGGGAAAUGGAAUGAGAAAACUAGAAGCUUGUGAAACUCAUCAGUCUUAAAAUGUGGAGAGUCCAGAGACCUGUGACAAAUUCAAUUGAAGUAGACCUCAUAUAUUAUUUAACAUAUUUCCGAUAUUAAAAGUUAUAUUAAGCACCAAGUAGUAGAGUAGUAAAUAUAGAGUCUAAAUUUGACAAAUCAAUGACAAUACUAAAAAUUAUAUUGUUAGAAUUAUGCAUAUAACCACAGGAAUAAUUAAAACAAAAGUAGCUGAAAGAGUUUAUCAUGGUGAGUGGGACUGGAAGUAAAAAGAGAAUACGCUGAAGAACAUUGCUUCUGUUUGGAAGAUAGUCUCUAUCAUUUUCUAUGUUUUAAAAAUAUUGCUUUGAAUAUGGUUCCAAAGGUUAAUACCUCAUUUUGCAUCCAUAAAAUAAUAUGCUUGAAAAUAUGUAAAUUUUCAUCUGCAUUAUGCUAUUGCCUUAUCCCUUAGAUAGGUU
This 2074-nucleotide long non-coding RNA is filed under the name Callithrix jacchus (white-tufted-ear marmoset). Its description in RNAcentral is "lncRNA (ENSCJAG00000078188.1)". The record is from RNAcentral. Lineage: Eukaryota; Metazoa; Chordata; Mammalia; Primates; Cebidae.